AGAGUUUGAUCAUGGCUCAGAACGAACGCUGGCGGCAGGCUUAACACAUGCAAGUCGAACGCCCCGCAAGGGGAGUGGCAGACGGGUGAGUAACGCGUGGGAACGUGCCCUUCGCUUCAGGAUAGUCCCGGGAAACUGGGUUUAAUACUGGAUACGCCGAAUUGGGAAAGAUUUAUCGGCGAAGGAUCGGCCCGCGUUGGAUUAGCUAGUUGGCGGUGUAAUAGACCACCAAGGCGACGAUCCAUAGCUGGUCUGAGAGGAUGAUCAGCCACACUGGGACUGAGACACGGCCCAGACUCCUACGGGAGGCAGCAGUGGGGAAUCUUGGACAAUGGGCGCAAGCCUGAUCCAGCCAUGCCGCGUGAGUGAAGAAGGCCUUAGGGUUGUAAAACUCUUUCGCCCGUGACGAUGAUGACGGUAACGGAGAAGAGC
This 432-nucleotide ribosomal RNA is filed under the name uncultured Agrobacterium sp. RNAcentral describes it as "bacterial SSU rRNA". It matches the Rfam family "Bacterial small subunit ribosomal RNA", at positions 8 to 493 of the family's 1533-position model. The record is from RNAcentral. Lineage: Bacteria; Pseudomonadati; Pseudomonadota; Alphaproteobacteria; Hyphomicrobiales; Rhizobiaceae.